UGCAAGUCGAGCGAAGUGACGGUAACUUGCUCCCUGAUAUUAGCGGCGGACGGGUGAGUAACACGUGGGUAACCUGCCUGUAAGAUUGGGAUAACUCCGGGAAACCGGAGCUAAUACCGGAUAACAUGUUGAACCGCAUGGUUCAACAUUGAAAGAUGGCUUUUGCUAUCACUUACAGAUGGACCCGCGGCGCAUUAGCUAGUUGGUGAGGUAACGGCUCACCAAGGCGACGAUGCGUAGCCGACCUGAGAGGGUGAUCGGCCACACUGGGACUGAGACACGGCCCAGACUCCUACGGGAGGCAGCAGUAGGGAAUCUUCCGCAAUGGACGAAAGUCUGACGGAGCAACGCCGCGUGAACGAUGAAGGCCUUCGGGUCGUAAAGUUCUGUUGUUAGGGAAGAACAAGUACCAGAGUAACUGCUGGUACCUUGACGGUACCUAACCAGAAAGCCACGGCUAACUACGUGCCAGCAGCCGCGGUAAUACGUAGGUGGCAAGCGUUGUCCGGAAUUAUUGGGCGUAAAGCGCGCGCAGGUGGUUUCUUAAGUCUGAUGUGAAAGCCCACGGCUCAACCGUGGAGGGUCAUUGGAAACUGGGGAACUUGAGUGCAGAAGAGGAAAGU
This 623-nucleotide ribosomal RNA is filed under the name Bacillus sp. (in: firmicutes). Its description in RNAcentral is "bacterial SSU rRNA". It matches the Rfam family "Bacterial small subunit ribosomal RNA", at positions 56 to 662 of the family's 1533-position model. The record is from RNAcentral. Lineage: Bacteria; Bacillati; Bacillota; Bacilli; Caryophanales; Bacillaceae.